GAUGAACGCUAGCGGCAGGCCUAACACAUGCAAGUCGAGCGGUAUUUGCUCAUCGGAACAGAGAGAGCGGCGCACGGGUGCGGAACACGCGUGCAACCUGCCUUUAUUUGGGUGAUAGCCAUUCGAAAGGAAGAUUAAUACCUCAUAAUAUAUUGAGUGGCAUCACUUGUUAUUGAAAACUCCGGUGGAUAGAGAUUGGCACGCGCAAGAUUAGAUAGUUGGUGAGGUAACGGCUCACCAAGUCAAUGAUCUUUAGGGGGCCUGCGAGGGUGACCCCCCACACGGGUACUGGGACACGGACCACUCAGCUACGGGACGGAGCAGUGCGGGAUACUGCAGAGGGGAAUAGUGCAUGAUGCGGGCAACCCGGGUGAAGGACGGCCGCCCUAGGGGUGGUGGCCUUCUUGUGGUUAGCGAUAAUCGGCCGCUCGUGAGAGUAGCUGACGGUACUUGACUAAUAAGCACCGGCUAACUCCGUG
This 479-nucleotide ribosomal RNA is filed under the name uncultured bacterium. RNAcentral describes it as "partial 16S ribosomal RNA". It matches the Rfam family "Bacterial small subunit ribosomal RNA", at positions 28 to 507 of the family's 1533-position model. The record is from RNAcentral.